This 486-nucleotide ribosomal RNA is filed under the name uncultured bacterium. RNAcentral describes it as "partial 16S ribosomal RNA". It matches the Rfam family "Bacterial small subunit ribosomal RNA", at positions 28 to 507 of the family's 1533-position model. The record is from RNAcentral.
GAUGAACGCUGGCGGCGUGCCUAAUACAUGCAAGUCGAACGCUGGAGAUCUAGCUUGCUAGAUCGAAGGAGUGGCGAACGGGUGAGUAAUACAUAAGCAACCUACCCACGAAGACUGGGAUAAUCUCUGGAAACGGGGACUAAUACCGGAUAGGUAAUCGGAAGGCAUCUUCUGGUUAUUAAAGGUUAAAAACACUGGUGGAUGGGCUUAUGGCGCAUUAGUUAGUUGGUGAGGUAACGGCCCACCAAGACGAUGAUGCGUAGCCGGCCUGAGAGGGUGAAAGGCCACAUUGGGACUGGGACACGGCCCAGACUCCUACGGGAGGGAGGAAUAGGGAAAUUUCGGGAAAGGGGGCAACCCUGACCGGGCAAAGCCGGGUGAGUGAAGACCGGCUUCGGGUUGUAAAGCUCUGUUGUAAGGGAAGAAACGUAGAAAAGGAAUAACUAAGUGACGGGACCCUAACAGAAAGCCACGGCUAACUACGUG